GAGACGGACUAAAUAGAGGACCUAAACCAGCAGGAAGAUGAACUCAGGGAGGUGCUGAGGAGACGAGAAGAAAGAAGCGGCUGGGGCUGAAGGAGAGGUGACAGCUCAUCAACUGCUUAACCAGAGGAAACCCACACUUAAGCCACAGCACAAGCCGGAUGCAAAGAUGUGCACUGCGGCCCAGCAACUCAGGAGGCGCAGCCUGCAGGACAGCUUCCCAGCCACCAGUCAGCUCCAGCCUGCACUGACACUGAGACUCAUUUUCUCUAUGAUCUUCUGAGGUCUCCUGCAUUCGUGCUAAAGUACUGGCUGAAGAGUCUCAGUUGGCAGAAUCUUAUCUGACAUACACGAACUCCUGGGUCCAGACAGCAGCACCUCGCAACACCCGCUCAGCAAUGCACACCCUAAUCUCAGUGCUCACGAUGGAGGCAACAGCAUCAGAAAUCAAUACACAAGGAAGUUCAAGGCUGAACCACGACACUUAAAGCCUUCCUUUAAAUAAAUAAAUAAAUAAAUAUAAAUAAAUAAAUAAAUAAAUAAAUAAAUAAAUGGAUGAAUAAAUGAAUGAAUAAAA
Long non-coding RNA from Mus musculus (house mouse), 574 nucleotides. RefSeq annotates it as predicted gene, 46597. The transcript has 3 exons. NCBI's taxonomy places the organism in Eukaryota, Metazoa, Chordata, Mammalia, Rodentia, Muridae. The record is from RefSeq and is marked validated.